RNAcentral lists this ribosomal RNA (451 nucleotides) under uncultured bacterium. RNAcentral's name for it is "partial 16S ribosomal RNA". It matches the Rfam family "Bacterial small subunit ribosomal RNA", at positions 354 to 796 of the family's 1533-position model. The record is from RNAcentral.
GUCGAGGAUCAUUCGCAAUGGGGGAAACCCUGACGAUGCGACGCUGCGUGGAGGAUGAAGGCCCUCGGGUCGUAAACUCCUGUCAUAUGGGGCAAGGGCGCGGGCGCUAACAGCGUCUCGCGCUUGAUGGUACCAUAAGAGGAAGCCACGGCUAACUCUGUGCCAGCAGCCGCGGUAAUACAGAGGUGGCGAGCGUUGUUCGGAUUUACUGGGCGUAAAGCGUGCGUAGGCGGUCGCGUAUGUCGGAUGUGAAAUCCCGGGGCUCACCCCCGGAAGUGCAUCCGAAACUGCGCGGCUAGAGGCCGGGAUGGGUGACUGGAACACAUGGUGUAGCGGUGAAAUGCGUUGAUAUCAUGUGGAACACCGGAGGCGAAGGCGAGUCACUGGAACGGAUCUGACGCUGAGGCACGAAAGCGUGGGGAGCAAACAGGAUUAGAAACCCGGGUAGUCC